Molecule: ribosomal RNA, 120 nt
Filed under: Aspergillus udagawae
Lineage: Eukaryota; Fungi; Ascomycota; Eurotiomycetes; Eurotiales; Aspergillaceae
Source: RNAcentral
ACAUACGACCAUAGGGUGUGGAAAACAGGGCUUCCCGUCCGCUCAGCCGUACUUAAACCACACGCCGGCCAGUUAGUAGUUGGGUGGGUGACCACCAGCGAAUCCCAGCUGUUGUAUGUU